AUAAACUUUUAUUUGCUAACUCCUUAUUUUGUUUGCAUCAUUUUUCUAACUUUAUCUUUUUUCUAAGAUUUGUCUCAUAACUAUUGCAGGAACGCAAAGAGACGAUAAAUUUUUUCAAAAAGAUCACAUCACUUCUCAAAGCCAAGCAAGAACAUUUAAUAACUAGUGAUGGCCUAGAGAAGAAGUUUAUGGUAUUAUCAUAAGUUUUUACUUGCUAACUGAUUGAUUUUAUUAAUGUUAUUUAUUUUUAUGAUUUAUUUUUGCACUCAGCUUGAAAAUGCUGUUAUCUUUUGGCAAUUGGACAAAAAAAUGUUAUAUUGUUUGAGGUCAAAAAGACCUGACAUUAUUCUCAAACCAUAUAAGCAACGCCUAGGUAUAGAUACUAGCGUCAUAUUGACGACUUAGAACAUACACGUUCGUAUAUGGGGGACAUAUAUCGAUGGAAUGAGCAUAUAUCGUCGGCCUGACAAAGAUUUUGAUGAUUUUGAAGCUUUUGUAGCGGUGUCAUUUGAAAUCCUCUCAUCUCACAGUUCCUACAAUCGAAUAGUAAGUAUAAGAAAAUUAAAUAGUAGAGUAACUUUAUUAUUUGAU
This 591-nucleotide small RNA is filed under the name Arabidopsis thaliana (thale cress). Its description in RNAcentral is "ATSL071910". The record is from RNAcentral. Lineage: Eukaryota; Viridiplantae; Streptophyta; Magnoliopsida; Brassicales; Brassicaceae.